This 5328-nucleotide long non-coding RNA is filed under the name Vitis vinifera (wine grape). RNAcentral describes it as "long non-coding RNA (VVIN_LNC003391)". Lineage: Eukaryota; Viridiplantae; Streptophyta; Magnoliopsida; Vitales; Vitaceae. The record is from RNAcentral.
CACCCUUGUCUUGGACUCUUUAUUGCAUUAUUGGUCUUCGUGAAACGAUUAGAAGUGGAGACUUUGGUUGCUUUUGCCUCUAAUUAUUCCAAUAUGGUAGGACCAUGAGAAGAGUGAUAAAGGAUAGUGUACUCUUUUUUCAAAUCACGAAAGCAACCCCCAAAAAACUAAGGAUGAAAAGUCAUUGUUAUAGUCACUUUGCCAAAAGAUUGCCCACCUUUAAUUUAGAAUCUUGGGCGUGGAUCAUCUUUUGGAGAGUUGGAAACCAAAAAAUGAAAAUGAUUGAGAUAGGAAAGAGACAAAUAAAGCAUGAAAGCUGAGAUUAAGGUGUGGCCCAAGCCCUGUUUACAUGAAUUUACUAGUGCUACACAUUGACUUCAUGCACUUCUGAGACUGACUUUUGAAACACCCCCUUAGAGAUUAUUACAUAGAUGAUAGUAAUUUUAGCUUGAAGCUACUUACCUUAUGAGAGAUACACACCAGCAGCUAAGAACUUCAUUUAUUUAGGUACAGCUCUUCCAACUCCUCAAAACCACGCUGCUUCAGGAAUAAAGCUUAGAACACCACAAGAAGAAAAGACACCAACCAGAGAUACAACAUAAUUCAGCAACACUUCAAGCCAUGGGCCAAGACCAUAGGAACUCUUUUGGGAGAACAGUUCACCGGUAACUGCGGUACACAGGAGAGUACAUGCAGCUCUCAGCAUACUUCACAAGAUUCUCAGGUUGAGGGAGCCGGGUCGCCAAACCUAGAAAAGCAUUAAAGUAAGAAACAAAAUAAAUGAUGCUGAAAACAGAAAGCAUUUGGUGUUUGUAAUAUAAGAAAAUCUGCAAGAAAAGACACCCACCAAGUUCAUAUGCCUUUGCAGCUACAUUAGCAGCAAUGUGGGCCGAUAUUUUCCUGAUAUUGGAGAAUGGUGGGUAAAUCAAGCCCUUGUCAAAGUUUUCUUGUGUUACUUGCCUGGCCAAGGCUUCCGCUGUUUCAAAGACAAUCAACAAACAUGUAAACAGUAAAAACUUAAUCCAGUGCAUCUUUAUGUGCAGUCAAAAUCAUUUGGUUUUCCAUUCUAACAGUAUUAUUGCAAAAAUUUACAAGGCUUGAUGCAACUUUGUAUGCUAUAUGCAGAAUGUCAGAACUGUAAGUAGUAAAAGCCCAUUAUUUUCACUUCCUCAUGGAUUUGAUUGUUUUUAAGGUGUUCUCAACUUACAGGCUGCAAGAAGCAUCUCGUCAUGAACACGGAUAGCACCAGAAAUAACCAAGCCCAUACCCAAUCCAGGAAAGAUGUAAGCAUUGUUAGCCUGAAUUGACAAGGAAAACAUAAACUUCAGUCCUAGAUGGCUAACUAUAUCUGUGGAGGAGGCUAUACUACAAAAUACUUGAAAAAUAGUUGUACAACCUGUCCAGGAACAAAAGUUUUGCCAUUGUAUUCAACGGGGUCAAAUGGACUUCCGCUAGCAAAAAUUGCACGACCCUUUACAUUUAAAAAAAACAGCAAAGGACAGAAAAUAAGGAUUAGUUUGCUUGCUUCUGCAAUCUAGUUAUAAGAUAUAUAAGAACCCGUAUGUCAUUUUACCUGAGUCCAAGUGUAAGCUUCUUCAGCUGUACACUCUGAUUGUGAGGUUGGGUUGGAGAGAGCCAGAAUGAGAGGUUUCUGCAUGUCAUUAAAAAUUUCAGUUUCUUCUGAUUGAAUUAUAAUUACUGAAAUCUGAUAUAAGGAAAAGAGAGAGGGGUACCUCAUUGCAGGAUGCCAUGGCCUCAAUAACCUCCUUUGUAAAUGCUUUUCCUACUCCAGAUGAUCCAAUCAAGACGGUUGGCUUGAUCACCUAAAGAUGUAAAGAGUGUAUAAUAAGGGACCAAUAAACACUUAAACCGUCAAUGACAUAAACAAAAACUGAGAGGAUUUGAUACCUUGACAGCAUGUAAAAGAUCCUUAACAGGUUCAUGUUCAUGAGCCCAUGGCUUCUUAAAUUGUUGAAGCGAAUCCUUACGGGAGCUAACAAUUAAACCCUGCAGGAAAAAGGAUGAGGAAACUGAAAUUAAAAUGAUGUCAAAGGGAAAAUAUUUUCAUCCAAAACAGAUCUUCAUAAAAAAUUCUACUACCUUUGAGUCCACAAGCCAAAUCUUCUUUCUGGUCUCUUCUAUAGGACAUUUUGUCUACAAAAGAUGAGCAAAACUAGAUAAAUAAUAUAAUAUUUAAAUGUGAAUGAGAAUAUCAUCCAAGUUUCCAGAUCCAUAACCAUACAUUCGUAUGUUAUAAUUACAUAAACCAAAGCUAAACAUGCAUAGGGUAGCAAGCGAAUACCUGUUUCGACAUCUCAAGAGCUAUAAGCUCUGCUAUCCCAGUUCCAGCCUGCAAUCAUGAUGGAGCAAAGGUGGGAUAAAUGAACUUGAUUAUGUACUUUUUUCAAUGAUAAUGUCUGAUAAUAUGCAGCAUCACUAGGGUAGGUCUCAAUGAAGAGGAAUGGAUAUAGAGUUUUCAAGAAAAUAAACAUAGAACAUGUCCAAUUAUCAAGUCAAAAAUUAAAAUGAAAAAGAAAUAGAUCUUAAGUAAAUUGGAUCAUUUAUUAAUUAAAUUAUUUAUCUAAUUUUCUGCUCCAUUUCAUUGCUUUUUAAACUUCUCCCAGUGUAGCAAGGGGGGGAAAAACACCAAUACGAAGGAAACAAAAAAGGGUGGAGAACAGGAUCUCACUUCUCCAGCACCAAGGAACAAAAAUUUGUGAUCGGCCAAAGUACCACCAAGUAACCGCAGUGCUGAAACUAUCCCUGCAAGAACCACAGAUGCUGUUCCCUGCACAGAGAACAAAUUAGUGAAGAAUGCAAAGAUUCCUUUAAUGAAAAGCUCCAACUUUAUAAUACUUCAUACCUGUAUAUCAUCAUUGAAGACGAGAUGAGUUGUGCCGUAUUUUGCAAGCAGGUCAAAAGCAUUAUGGUUUGCAAAAUCUUCAAACUGAAAAAUUCAGUCAAAGGAUCUAUAUUUGUAAUUGCAAGAACAAAAUUCAAAUACUGACAAUCUAAUGAUCAAGAAUGUACUGUAGUUGAUGACUGCAACGAAUGACUAACCUGUAUAAGAACUUUUUCUCCAUAGUUCUGCUUGACAGCGGACAUGAACUCUUGCAGAAAUUCAGAGUAUUCCUGAAAAUAAUUUGUCAAAACUACCUCAAUAUUGAAGUGAUGGCACAAUCCUUUCAUUUAAGGAGGACAAAACAACAAAUCAUAUGACCUUCCCAGUUGCUCUCCGUUGUUUGAGACCAAUAUAGAACUCAUUCGCCAAUAGCUUUUCAUUGUUUGUUCCCACGUCAAUGGUUAUGGGCAAGCACUGUGAAUGCAAGUCAGACACUUUCUUGAUUAAAAUGGGAGAGUGGAAAUUGGGGCAGUGUUUUCAGGGCUUAUUUUCAAAAAUUCUGUCCAAGUUUGCAACUUAAUCAUGUUGUUUGGAUUUCUUGAAAUAAAAUUUUCAAGGGGUUUGGCUGUUAGUACUUAUAUAAGAAACAAGUGCAACAAAAAUAAGGCAAAAGCAACAGUUUCAUUUCUGGAAAUACUCACUGCUGAAGGACGAACACCUCCAAGUGCUGUAUACAGAGAAAGUUUCCCUACAGGUAUCCCCAUCCCCUGGUAACAUUUUAAAAAUUUUCAUCCAAGCCCUAUUUCACUUCUGUAAUAUUAUUCGAACUUAUGAAUUAUGUUUUAAACCAAUAAUAAAUUUAAAGAGAUGAAUCCCAGUACAAUCACCUGGCAACCAAGGUCCCCAAGUCCCAGAAUCCGCUCACCAUCAGUGACGACAAUAACUUGAAUUCUCCUCUCAGGCCAGUUCUUCAAUACCUCCAGAAUCUUUCCCCUGCAAAUCCAGUCACACUUGCAUAUUAAUUCAGAGCUAUUUUUAAUUUGAGAACAUAAUUACAAAUCAAACAACUAAUCAUACUUUUCUUUCAAACUUAUGUAAAGACCCUGUGGGCGCCUGAAGAUGCUCCCAUAUUUCUGGCAAGCCUCACCAACAGUUGGAGUGUAGACAACCGGGAGCAAUUCCUCAACAUUAUCAAUGAGAAGCUUGUAGAACAGCCUUUCAUUCCUUUCCUAAAAGUCAAAAGAAAUACGAAAAAAAGGCAGAGAUUAAAUCAAUGCCACCCAACAAGGAGCAUUUGAACACUGCAUUGAACAAGAUGACUCUAUUUUGCUCCCAUAGCAUUUAAAAUUCAAAUCCAAGCUUCUAAAUAAGAUCAUUAACAACUCUCUUCGCAUUUUACAACCCCAUCUGACCCCUAUGCAACCCCACAAAAAGUUUGGAUGUCCCAUGGACUAAAUCCUUCAUUUUAUUUUUAUAGAUAACUUGAUUUGUGAGUCCCAGAUCUUAAUUGACAAAACAGUCAAAACUUGCAUCCAUCAAGUCAAAUGAGGCGAAAGAUUAAAUGGGUGGCAUUUACUAAAAUUCAUGAUUGAGAAUCAUUUACUGUUUUACAUCCGAUCUUCUUUGUUAUAUCCACUCUAGAUUAUGGAUUUGCGCAAAUCCAACGCAAUGUACAAUUCCAUGGAGCAAUUAAAUUAUCAUGAGACAACCAAACAUGGCCAUGUAAAACAGGUACCUGAAGGUCCAUCAUGGCCAUGUACUUUUGCAAAGGAACUUGAUAUUGACGAAUAGAGUUCAUCAAUUUCCUCUCCUGCUCAGUGAAAUGAAAAGGGUUAACAGGAAAUGAUAGUAAUAAUCAGAUCAAAAAAAUUUCAAACUCAGAGCCAACCAUCUAUAUAACCUGAAGUUCUUGGGUGGAAACUACUGGAGGUAGAAGACCACAUAAGUAGUGCGCAUCCCUCUCUUUAUCAUUGAAUGCAAGACCCUUGUUGUGGCGAGGAUCCCUCAACAACGAAUACCCACUUCAGCACAACAAAGAAAAGAUCAAAAGAUCAGUAUCUGACUAUGGCAUCGCUUUCAGAAUCCAACCCAGAUCAGCUUUAAUCUCAAUCUGAGCACAAAACAAUUUUAAGAAAAAAAGUACCCAAGAACAAGGAACAGAAAUUGAAUUCAAGAAAAGAAAACAAAUCAACACUGAUCCAGAACAUAAACUGAAAAAACAUAUCAAAGUCAGUAACUAAGAACGCAGAAAUAAGAGAAAGUAAACGAUCCCAAACAAACAAGAGUAUGCAAGACCUGGCAACGGAAACAGUCCAAGGGGUGACGAGCUGGUCCUCAGUGGCAAAAUCCUCCCCGUACAAGUCCUCAACGCCACCACCCACGGUGGCCUUUGGGUCCAGGUCCAGCACCGAAGCGCCAUCUCUUAUGUCCUUCAACGUGCUCUCCAUCACCACCACCACCACCACCACCGGAGCUCAGAAUUUCCU